GUUUGGGAGACACUGGUCUAGAGGUGGUAGGACUGAGUUUGGGAAACACUGGUCUAGACGUGGUAGGACUGAGUUUGGGAAACACUGGUCUAGACGUGGCAGGACUGAGUUUGGGAGACACUGGUCUAGAGGUGGUAGGACUGAGUUUGGGAAACACUGGUCUAGACGUGGUAGGACUGAGUCUGGGAGACCCUGGUCUAGACGUGGCAGGACUGAGUUUGGGAGACCCUGGUCUAGACGUGGUAGGACUGAGUCUGGGAGACCCUGG
Molecule: long non-coding RNA, 268 nt
Organism: Oncorhynchus tshawytscha (Chinook salmon)
Lineage: Eukaryota; Metazoa; Chordata; Actinopteri; Salmoniformes; Salmonidae
Source: Ensembl